RNAcentral lists this ribosomal RNA (510 nucleotides) under uncultured bacterium. RNAcentral describes it as "partial 16S ribosomal RNA". It matches the Rfam family "Bacterial small subunit ribosomal RNA", at positions 28 to 507 of the family's 1533-position model. The record is from RNAcentral.
GACGAACGCUGGCGGCGUGCUUAACACAUGCAAGUCGAACGAAGAGCGACGGAAGCUUGCUUCUAUCACUCUUAGUGGCGAACGGGUGAGUAACGCGUAAUCAACCUGCCCUUCAGAGGGGGACAACAGUUGGAAACGACUGCUAAUACCGCAUACGAUCUAAUCUCGGCAUCGAGGAUGGAUGAAAGGUGGCCUCUACAUGUAAGCUAUCACUGAAGGAGGGGAUUGCGUCUGAUUAGCUAGUUGGAGGGGUAACGGCCCACCAAGGCGAUGAUCAGUAGCCGGUCUGAGAGGAUGAACGGCCACAUUGGGACUGAGACACGGCCCAGACUCCUACGGGAGGCAGCAGUGGGGAAUCUUCCGCAAUGGACGAAAGUCUGACGGAGCAACGCCGCGUGAGUGAUGACGGCCUUCGGGUUGUAAAGCUCUGUUAAUCGGGACGAAAGGCCUUCUUGCGAAUAGUGGGAAGGAUUGACGGUACCGGAAUAGAAAGCCACGGCUAACUACGUG